GGAGCCAUGGCUUAGUGGCAGAGCAUCUGCCUGGCGUGCCGUAGGUUCCAGGUUCAAACCCUGGCAUCUCCA
This 72-nucleotide transfer RNA is filed under the name Sphaerodactylus townsendi. RNAcentral describes it as "tRNA-Ala". It matches the Rfam family "tRNA". Rfam says of the family: Transfer RNA (tRNA) molecules are approximately 80 nucleotides in length. Their secondary structure includes four short double-helical elements and three loops (D, anti-codon, and T loops). Lineage: Eukaryota; Metazoa; Chordata; Lepidosauria; Squamata; Sphaerodactylidae. The record is from RNAcentral.